RNAcentral lists this non-coding RNA (198 nucleotides) under Enterococcus pallens. Its description in RNAcentral is "T-box sequence". It matches the Rfam family "T-box leader". Rfam says of the family: Uncharged tRNA acts as the effector for transcription antitermination of genes in the T-box leader family. The record is from RNAcentral. Lineage: Bacteria; Bacillati; Bacillota; Bacilli; Lactobacillales; Enterococcaceae.
AAAAAAGCGUUGAUGGAAAAGAGUAAUCUUUUAAGACCUUUACAGGGAAUAUCUGCCAUAGACUGUAAGCAGAUCAGGGGAUAGAAGGUGAAGUUCACUUCCGGAGCUUGUCGUAACUGACCGGCUGCGGCCGUUAAAACUUGUAAGUGCGCCAAAAAUUGGCGAAUUAGGAUGGUAACGCGAGACCUCGUUCCUUUA